RNAcentral lists this ribosomal RNA (466 nucleotides) under uncultured bacterium. RNAcentral's name for it is "partial 16S ribosomal RNA". It matches the Rfam family "Bacterial small subunit ribosomal RNA", at positions 28 to 507 of the family's 1533-position model. The record is from RNAcentral.
GAUGAACGCUGGCGGCGUGCUUAACACAUGCAAGUCGAACGAUGAAGCCCAGCUUGCUGGGUGGAUUAGUGGCGAACGGGUGAGUAACACGUGAGUAACCUGCCCUUAACUCUGGGAUAAGCCUGGGAAACUGGGUCUAAUACCGGAUAGGAGCGCCUACCGCAUGGUGGGUGUUGGAAAGAUUUAUCGGUUUUGGAUGGACUCGCGGCCUAUCAGCUUGUUGGUGAGGUAAUGGCUCACCAAGGCGACGACGGGUAGCCGGCCUGAGAGGGUGACCGGCCACACUGGGACUGAGACACGGCCCAGACUCCUACGGGAGGCAGCAGUGGGGAAUAUUACACAAUGGGCGAAAGCCUGAUGCAGCGACGCCGCGUGAGGGAUGACGGCCUUCGGGUUGUAAACCUCUUUCAGUAGGGAAGAAGCGAAAGUGACGGUACCUGCAGAAGAAGCACCGGCUAACUACGUG